This 29-nucleotide non-coding RNA is filed under the name Cricetulus griseus (Chinese hamster). The record is from RNAcentral. Lineage: Eukaryota; Metazoa; Chordata; Mammalia; Rodentia; Cricetidae.
AUUGGAGUUCAUGCAAGUUCUAACCAGCU